UACAGAGGUCUCAAGCGUUGUUCGGAUUCAUUGGGCGUAAAGGGUGCGUAGGCGGCGCGGUAAGUCGGGUGUGAAAUCUCGGAGCUUAACUCCGAAACUGCAUUCGAUACUGCCGUGCUUGAGGACUGGAGAGGAGACUGGAAUUUACGGUGUAGCGGUGAAAUGCGUAGAUAAUCGUAAGGAAGACCAGUGGCGAAAGGGCGGGGUCUCUGGACAGUUCCUGACGUGAGGCACGAAGGUCGGGGGAGCAAACGGGG
This 257-nucleotide ribosomal RNA is filed under the name uncultured bacterium. RNAcentral describes it as "partial 16S ribosomal RNA". It matches the Rfam family "Bacterial small subunit ribosomal RNA", at positions 524 to 777 of the family's 1533-position model. The record is from RNAcentral.